AUUUAAGUAGUUUAAAAAAAAUAUUGAUUUGUGGAAUCAAAGAUAUAAAAUGUUAUCUUAAAUA
This 64-nucleotide transfer RNA is filed under the name Hydrobius fuscipes. RNAcentral describes it as "tRNA-His". The record is from RNAcentral. Lineage: Eukaryota; Metazoa; Arthropoda; Insecta; Coleoptera; Hydrophilidae.